GCCCGAUAAUGUAUAGUCCGCCGGUCAGUAUCGGAAAAUAAAUCCCUUCAGGAUGAAACAAGAGUGCUCCGCUGCGCAACCCCAUUUAAUUAUCAAAGUGUUCUGAUGAUGAAGUUCCACCUGGAAUCUUAAGCUUGUCAAAUGUCCACAAAAGGACCUCUUUUUCCUUUCAAGUUCAGGACGCAAAAGAGCCAAUAACAUUAUAUGCCUUUCCAGAAGAGGCUUGAAGUGAGAAUAUGCACUAAAUCAAUAAAAGUAUAUGAAGAUCCAGUGGAGCAGCACUGGUGUGGUAGUACAUAACCAGGGAGGGGGAGGGGGAGGGGGGAGCUGUGUGUGGGAGGGUGGGGGUGUUUCAGUCUGCAGAGGAGAGAGCUACCUCACCGCUGCGGUGGAGGUGCAGCUUUUAUCUUCAUUAGCGGCUCUGCUCUCCUCAGCCACCUCUCCUGCUGCAACCAGGGCCCCGGGGUGUCCAGAUGCGCCAUGUUUAAAAAAAGGGCCCUGGCCCCGCUGUGCUCCUUCCUCCUCCUCACCUCCCAGGGUGUGAACCACCACAUGGAGCCUGACAAACAUAGCCUGACGACACCAGGGUUUGUGAAGGCACCUUGUUUGAUCAGAGGAGGUGAUGGAGGAAGGGGGGUGGGUUGUUGGUGGUGAGGAGGGGGGCGCACCCUCCGAGGGGUCCACACAUGUUCUGAAGAUGCUGUGAGAACCAGAGAGUUGAGAUGGUGAGUGAAUGAGCUGAACAGCUCCUGGUGUCCCUCAAGGAGACUUGUGGGAGCUGUGUAGUCGUGCCAACAGCAGUGACGUGGCACUGUUGCAACAUCAGAGACAAAGGUGUAACAAUGAGCGUGCUUGUGUGUUUGAAAUGAGGUCAGUUUUGUUUCGUUUCAGUAUGAACAGCUGUUGCAUAUGUUUGGAAAAUCAACUCGCUGUCAAGGUUCUGCUUAUCUGUGGCUGUAAAUUGCUUUAUAGUUCUGCUGUUUUGUUGGUCAAAGCAAAUGUGACCGUGUUAUUACAGAAAUGUUCAUUUGUUGAGAAAUGCUUAAAAGCACCUUUUGUAGGUUUAAAAAAAAAAAAUUGAAAAAAAAAAGUUGUAGGUAACUAGUUUGUAUAACAUUCUCAGAUUCAUUUUGAUAGUCUAUGGUCAUAUGAAAGACGGAUGAACACACCUGUCAUUUCCACAAGUCGUCCUGGUUAGCCAUUAUGUAGUGAAACCCCAUUUUCACAGCAGGGUGUGGCCCAAAAUAUUGCCAUAACACAUCAGUUAGCACGCUAGCUAGUUUCUCCGGUGCCUCAUGGCUGUUGUUGGUGUUUGCCAGUUAAGUCUGUUAGCUUUAGCCUGCAAAUUUUAAAUGGAAGCUCAUUGCUAAUGCUUCAAUCUGAUAUGCCAGUGGAGCUCCCAUUUCAACAUCUGAGGGUGACAGAUCAGAUGGAAACAACAAAAAGAACAUUGUCUCUCCUCUAUCUUCCACCCUCUCUCUCUCUCUCUCUCUCUCUCUCUCUCUCUGUCUCUCUUUCUAUCUCUCUUGGAGAGAAAGCUACCCAGUUAGAAUUCACAUUUCCAGCAAGAACAGCUUAGGGGGUUGGGGAGAUAUUGAGUUACACUGACAUAAAUCUUCGCAUUUUUCUAGUGUGCGGGUAGUUCUUUUUGCCGGUGUGUUCGGGAAUGCUGGCGCUCCUGGGAAGAGAUAGUGCUGGCGCCUUCAGUGGAGCCUACCCGAGCAUUUGAGUGUGUGUGUGUAUGUGUGUGUGUGUGUGUGUGUAUGGGAGGGGGGGGGGGGGGGGGGUCAUCUUUAUCUUAGGCCAUUACAAGGAGGAUCUGUGCCUUGUGUAGGGGCAUGACUCUGCGCCUCACUGGGGUAUGCAGGAGCAAGGGGAGCACGAUGCAUGGAGAACACGCUGGCUCCCGUCCCUGUAAUUAUCUCUGCUAAAUGACUCUUGUUAUUGUUAGCUAAAUGGUACAAAGGGGGGAUCUGAACAGCAAAGGAAGGGCAUCCAAAACAGAGGCAGGGUCCAGGUGAAUGGGAAUUAUCUGGGAGCUGGAACCAAGUCAAGCGCCCGAUCCCCACCUCGCAGGUUUUAAAUAACAAACUAGACUUGGCUGCAAAUUCUUUGUGCACCAGCAAUCAAAAGGGGGUGUUAACAUGAGAAAUUCAGGGGUGAAAUGAUAGUCUUUAAUUGGGCAGUACCCCCCCCCCCCCUUGAUCACACAAUAAAGGAGUAAACCCAGGACUCACUGG
Clupea harengus (Atlantic herring) is the source of this 2240-nucleotide long non-coding RNA. The record is from Ensembl. Lineage: Eukaryota; Metazoa; Chordata; Actinopteri; Clupeiformes; Clupeidae.